Molecule: ribosomal RNA, 889 nt
Filed under: uncultured Bacillota bacterium
Lineage: Bacteria; Bacillati; Bacillota
Description: bacterial SSU rRNA
Rfam family: Bacterial small subunit ribosomal RNA
Source: RNAcentral
GGAUCCAGACUUUGAUUAUGGCUCAGGACGAACGCUGGCGGCGCGCCUAACACAUGCAAGUCGAACGAGAGAGAGGAAGCUUGCUUCCUCAAUCGAGUGGCGAACGGGUAAGUAACGCGUGAGGAACCUGCCUCAAAGAGGGGGACAACAGUUGGAAACGACUGCUAAUACCGCAUAAGCCCACGACCCGGCAUCGGGAAGAGGGAAAAGGAGCAAUCCGCUUUGAGAUGGCCUCGCGUCCGAUUAGCUAGUUGGUGAGGUAACGGCCCACCAAGGCGACGAUCGGUAGCCGGACUGAGAGGUUGAACGGCCACAUUGGGACUGAGACACGGCCCAGACUCCUACGGGAGGCAGCAGUGGGGAAUAUUGCACAAUGGGGGAAACCCUGAUGCAGCGACGCCGCGUGGAGGAAGAAGGUCUUCGGAUUGUAAACUCCUGUUGUUGAGGAAGAUAAUGACGGUACUCAACAAGGAAGUGACGGCUAACUACGUGCCAGCAGCCGCGGUAAAACGUAGGUCACAAGCGUUGUCCGGAAUUACUGGGUGUAAAGGGAGCGCAGGCGGGAAGACAAGUUGGAAGUGAAAUCCAUGGGCUCAACCCAUGAACUGCUUUCAAAACUGUUUUUCUUGAGUAGUGCAGAGGUAGGCGGAAUUCCCGGUGUAGCGGUGGAAUGCGUAGAUAUCGGGAGGAACACCAGUGGCGAAGGCGGCCUACUGGGCACCAACUGACGCUGAGGCUCGAAAGUGUGGGUAGCAAACAGGAUUAGAUACCCUGGUAGUCCACACCGUAAACGAUGAUUACUAGGUGUUGGGAGAUUGACCCUCUCAGUGCCGCAGUUAACACAAUAAGUAAUCCACCUGGGGAGUACGACCGCAAGGUUGCAACUCAA